UACGUAGGAUGCAAGCGUUGUCCGGAUUUAUUGGGCGUAAAGAGCGUGUAGGCGGUUUGGUAGGUCCGCUGUGAAAACUCGAGGCUCAACCUCGAGACGCCGGUGGAAACCAUCAGGCUAGAGUCCGGAAGAGGAGAGUGGAAUUCCUGGUGUAGCGGUGAAAUGCGCAGAUAUCAGGAAGAACACCCGUGGCUAAGGCGGCUCUCUAGUACGGUACUGACGCUGAGACGCGAAAGCGUGGGGAGCGAACAGG
RNAcentral lists this ribosomal RNA (253 nucleotides) under uncultured bacterium. RNAcentral describes it as "partial 16S ribosomal RNA". It matches the Rfam family "Bacterial small subunit ribosomal RNA", at positions 524 to 776 of the family's 1533-position model. The record is from RNAcentral.